AUUCCCUAGUAGCGGCGAGCGAAGCGGGAAGAGCUCAAAUUUAUAAUCUGGCACCUUCGGUGUCCGAGUUGUAAUCUCUAGAAGUGUUUUCCGCGUUGGACCGCACACAAGUCUGUUGGAAUACAGCGGCAUAGUGGUGAAACCCCCGUAUAUGGUGCGGACGCCCAGCGCUUUGUGAUACACUUUCAAUGAGUCGAGUUGUUUGGGAAUGCAGCUCAAAUUGGGUGGUAAAUUCCAUCUAAAGCUAAAUAUUGGCGAGAGACCGAUAGCGAACAAGUACCGUGAGGGAAAGAUGAAAAGCACUUUGGAAAGAGAGUUAACAGUACGUGAAAUUGUUGGAAGGGAAACGCUUGAAGUCAGACUUGCUUGCCGGAGCUUGCUUCGGUUUGCAGGCCAGCAUCAGUUUUCCGGGGUGGAUAAUGACGGUUUGAAGGUAGCAGUCUCGGCUGUGUUAUAGCUUUCCGUUGGAUACAUCCUGGGGGACUGAGGAACGCAGCGUGCUUUUUGCGAAAGACUCGUCUUUUUCACGCUUAGGAUGCUGGUGGAAUGGCUUUAAACGACCCGUCUUGAAACACGGACCAC
Molecule: ribosomal RNA, 582 nt
Filed under: Ustilentyloma graminis
Lineage: Eukaryota; Fungi; Basidiomycota; Microbotryomycetes; Microbotryales; Ustilentylomataceae
Description: eukaryotic LSU rRNA
Rfam family: Eukaryotic large subunit ribosomal RNA
Source: RNAcentral